ACGGUGAGUAACACGCAUCCAACCUGCCGUCUACUCUUGGCCAGCCUUCUGAAAGGAAGAUUAAUCCAGGAUGGCAUCAUGAGUUCACAUGUCCGCAUGAUUAAAGGUAUUUUCCGGUAGACGAUGGGGAUGCGUUCCAUUAGAUAGUAGGCGGGGUAACGGCCCACCUAGUCAACGAUGGAUAGGGGUUCUGAGAGGAGGGUCCCCCACAUUGGAACUGAGACACGGUCCAA
RNAcentral lists this ribosomal RNA (233 nucleotides) under uncultured bacterium. Its description in RNAcentral is "partial 16S ribosomal RNA". It matches the Rfam family "Bacterial small subunit ribosomal RNA", at positions 105 to 334 of the family's 1533-position model. The record is from RNAcentral.